UCUCGGAUCAUCAAAGCUCAGUAAACAUCGGUCAGUGAGAUUUACUUGAAAUUUAAAUUGAAUCAAGAUGAAUCACUCAUGUUUUCACGACGCGUUCUUUGUACGCUUUCUGACCGGUUUAUCUGUUCUUUGAGUUAUAUGUUGAUAUUAAUAUCCUUCUCAUCCAGUGUUUCGAUGUCAUGAGACACAGCUGUCUUUGCCUUCUCAGAAAAGAACAUGAAAAUACUGAAUGAGGAGGAAAUGAGCAAAUCAGGUGCAUCUGUAACAGUUUAUGUUUCAGUUUUCAUUGUUGACUCUUUUUGGAAUUAAAAUAGAAAAGUUGCGUGCUUUUCAUUGCCUAAAAAGAAACAAAAGCAAGUGUAUUGUCACUCCAGGAAGAUGAUUAUCAGUGUGCUUUUCUUUCUUUAAAACGGAUACUAAAGUCCGUCUUAAACGCGGUGUUUGUUUCCCGCCCCCUGGCGUCCUCCCGCGGUACGGCACUGUCGCAAUUCACGACUCAUCACGACAAAUAAAAGAGAGCGAGGUUAACGAGCAGCACGAGACAUCGGCUUCAACCUCGCCUCGGAAAAUGUGUGACCGAGAUCAAGACAAGACUGUCCUCGUAGGAAACAUCCACAGCUGUGUGACGGAGGAGAUUCUGUUCGAGCUGUUCCUGCAGGCAGGUCCGGUAGAAGAGGUGUGUAUAUUCCGAGAGGGUCAGUGUGGUUGUGUUUAUUAUAAGCACGCUGAGGCGGUCCCCUACGCUGUGGCUCUUCUCAAUGGGAUCUGGCUCUACGGGCAGCCAAUCAGAUUACAGCAGAGGACCGCGCUGUGUCCUUCAGUGCAGAUGAUGAUGUACUUCUGAAUGUAAAUGACAGUCCAGCUGUGAAGAACUACUUCAGUGAAGCCUGCAGCUGGAGAGACAUGGCGUCCAGCAGAGGUCAGGUCAGGGGUCAGCGCGCUCUGGUCUCCCGUCUGUGACGUCCAUCAGACAGUAAACACUGAGAAGCAUGUCAUCCGGCUCUGAGAGAGACUCUAAUAAAACCUUCUGCAUUCA
Puntigrus tetrazona (Sumatra barb) is the source of this 1036-nucleotide RNA transcript. It is a transcript of the gene named RNA binding motif protein 11, with no coding region annotated. The record is from RefSeq and is a predicted model, not a curated record. The transcript is spliced from 4 exons. Lineage: Eukaryota; Metazoa; Chordata; Actinopteri; Cypriniformes; Cyprinidae.